AGAGUUUGAUCCUGGCUCAGGAUGAACGCUGGCGGCGUGCCUAACACAUGCAAGUCGAACGGAGUUCUUAAGGAAUGCGACUUCGGUCAAAUGACUUUUGAACUUAGUGGCGGACGGGUGAGUAACGCGUGAGCAACCUGCCUUUCAGAGGGGGAUAACAUUUGGAAACAGAUGCUAAUACCGCAUAAGAUUACAGUACCGCAUGAUACAGUGAUCAAAGGAGCAAUCCGCUGAAAGAUGGGCUCGCGUCCGAUUAGAUAGUUGGUGAGGUAACGGCUCACCAAGUCGACGAUCGGUAGCCGGACUGAGAGGUUGAACGGCCACAUUGGGACUGAGACACGGCCCAGACUCCUACGGGAGGCAGCAGUGGGGAAUAUUGCACAAUGGGCGAAAGCCUGAUGCAGCAACGCCGCGUGAGGGAAGACGGUUUUCGGAUUGUAAACCUCUGUUUUCGGUGACGAAUAAAUGACGGUAACCGAGUAGGAAGCCACGGCUAACUACGUGCCAGCAGCCGCGGUAAUACGUAGGUGGCAAGCGUUAUCCGGAAUUACUGGGUGUAAAGGGAGCGCAGGCGGGAUAGCAAGUCAGCUGUGAAAACUAUGGGCUCAACCCAUAAACUGCAGUUGAAACUGUUAUUCUUGAGUGGAGUAGAGGCAAGCGGAAUUCCGAGUGUAGCGGUGAAAUGCGUAGAUAUUCGGAGGAACACCAGUGGCGAAGGCGGCUUGCUGGGCUCUAACUGACGCUGAGGCUCGAAAGUGUGGGGAGCAAACAGGAUUAGAUACCCUGGUAGUCCACACUGUAAACGAUGAUUGCUAGGUGUGGGGGGUCUGACCCCCUCCGUGCCGGAGUUAACGCAAUAAGCAAUCCACCUGGGGAGUACGG
Molecule: ribosomal RNA, 882 nt
Filed under: uncultured bacterium
Lineage: Bacteria
Description: bacterial SSU rRNA
Rfam family: Bacterial small subunit ribosomal RNA
Source: RNAcentral